CCUACGGGAGGCAGCAGGGAGGAAUAGUGGUCAAUGGGCGCGAGCCGGAACCAGCCAAGUCGCGGGAGGGAGGACGGCCCGACGGGUUGUAAACCUCUUUUGCCGGGGAGCAACGGGCGUCACGUGUGGCGCCACUGAGAGGACCCGGAGAAAAAGCAGCGGCUAACUCCGUGCCAGCAGCCGCGGUAAUACGGAGGAUGCGAGCGUUAUCCGGAUUGAUUGGGUUGAAAGGGUGCGUAGGCGGAUCGUUAAGUCAGUGGUCAAAUUGAGGGGCUCAACCCCUUCCCGCCAUUGAAACUGGCGCUCUUGAGUGGACGCGAAGUCUGCGGAAUGCGUGGUGUAGCGG
RNAcentral lists this ribosomal RNA (346 nucleotides) under uncultured bacterium. Its description in RNAcentral is "partial 16S ribosomal RNA". It matches the Rfam family "Bacterial small subunit ribosomal RNA", at positions 338 to 681 of the family's 1533-position model. The record is from RNAcentral.